GACGAACGCUGGCGGCGUGCCUAAUACAUGCAAGUCGAGCGAACAGACGAGAGUGCUUGCCCCCUCUGACGUUAGCGGCGGACGGGUGAGUAACACGUGGGUAACCUACCUAUAAGACUGGGAUAACUUCGGGAAACCGGAUCUAAUACCGGAUAAUAUUUAGCUUCGCAUGGAGCAAUAGUGAAAGACGGUUUUGCUGUCACUUAUAGAAGGACCCGGGGUGUAUUUGCUAGGUGGUGGGGUAACGGCUCACCAAGGCCACGAUACAUAGCCGACACGAGAGGGUGAUCGGCCACACUGGGACUGAGACACGGCCCAGACUCCUACGGGAGGCAGCAGUAGGGAAUCUUACGCGAGGGACGAAAGUCUGACGGAGCAAUGCCGCGUGAGUGAAGAAGGUUUUCGGAUCGUAAAGCGCUGUUGUAAGGGAAGAACAAGUACGUUAGUAACUGAACGUACCUUGACGGUACCUUACCAGAAAGCCACGGCUAACUACGUG
Molecule: ribosomal RNA, 499 nt
Filed under: uncultured bacterium
Lineage: Bacteria
Description: partial 16S ribosomal RNA
Rfam family: Bacterial small subunit ribosomal RNA
Source: RNAcentral